Molecule: ribosomal RNA, 370 nt
Filed under: uncultured fungus
Lineage: Eukaryota; Fungi
Description: eukaryotic LSU rRNA
Source: RNAcentral
AGAGUUAAACAGUGCGUGAAAUUGUUGAAAGGGAAACGUUUGACACCAGUCAUGUGGGUGGAAAAUCAGUGUUGUCUUGGGGAAAUCAAUCGAUUGGAGAGAUCUGAACGAUGCACUUUUUCCAGGACAGGUCAAUAUCAGUUUGUCGAUGAUGUAGAACACUUGGGGAAAGUAGCUGCUUGCAGUGUUAUAGCCCUAAGGAACGCGUCGUCACGGACUGAGGAUCGCAGAGUAGACCUCACGGUAGGAUUCCCAGGUCUUUGCUGGAAAGACUUUGGUGGACAGCUUGCUGACCAUCCGAGUUGGACUGGCAUUUAUCCGGUGAAUCACUUCUACUCUUAGGAUAUUGACCAAAUGGUUUUAAAUGACC